This 676-nucleotide long non-coding RNA is filed under the name Nicotiana benthamiana. Its description in RNAcentral is "long non-coding RNA (NBEN_LNC040053)". The record is from RNAcentral. Lineage: Eukaryota; Viridiplantae; Streptophyta; Magnoliopsida; Solanales; Solanaceae.
UUAAUAUAAAGAUUUCCUUAGUAAAGACACACUUUUAACAAUUAAUCAUAGAAUAAGAUAUUAAUAAGAAUAAAAGCCUGAUAAAUAGGGAGAGAAAAUGAAGUGAUUAUACUUACUGAAAAGUGCUCAUUAUCCCUAAUACAAACACACAUCUUCUGCACUUUGUCUUCUUAGAAACUUCAAAUGAUUCUGCAGGCAUGCUCUUGUCACAGCUUGACCCCGAAAAUAUAGAACACUAGUUACAGAUCCCUCUUUUCAAAAGCCCACAACAGCUAAAACAGAGGAACCCACACAACAAUUGAACCUCGAAAAUAGAGGAACCCACACAACAAUUGAACCAAAAUGUAACCCAGUACUUUUAAUAAUAUAUUGAUCCAAAUUCUAAAAGCAUAUCGAAAAUAAUUUCAGGUACGAACUCUACAUUAGAAAGUAAACAGAGACGAUUUAGAUCAAAGAAGAGUAUGAUAAAAUACAGACCUUUAAUGUUUAGAUUACGCCGAAUUAUUUUGUCGAGAUGAUGAUGACGAGGGGGAACUGAGGCCUGCUAUGAUGAAGAAAGGAAAUUAAACCCUGAUUUGUGAGUUGAAAAGGGGAAACUUAUUGUGCGCUUUGGAUAAAAGGGGCGAAAAGAAGAGGGAAUUUUUCCCGGUUCCAUAAAUUUGAGUCAAAUAUCCAA